UACGGAGGGUGCGAGCGUUGUUCGGAAUUAUUGGGCGUAAAGCGCGUGUAGGCGGUCUGGUAAGUCUGAUGUGAAAGCCCUGGGCUCAACCCGGGAAGUGCAUUGGAUACUGCCAGACUUGAAUACGGGAGAGGGCAGUGGAAUUCCUGGUGUAGGAGUGAAAUCCGUAGAUAUCAGGAGGAACACCGGUGGCGAAGGCGGCUGCCUGGACCGAUAUUGACGCUGAGACGCGAAAGCGUGGGGAGCAAAC
RNAcentral lists this ribosomal RNA (250 nucleotides) under uncultured bacterium. Its description in RNAcentral is "partial 16S ribosomal RNA". It matches the Rfam family "Bacterial small subunit ribosomal RNA", at positions 524 to 773 of the family's 1533-position model. The record is from RNAcentral.